UAAAAAAAAGUGACUCACAUACAUGAUGGAGCUUCCUCUUCGAAUAAAGAAGCACAAAAACCAAAAUUCUAGUGUGAGGUUUGCAAGUUAGUUGUCUCCAAUUUUAUUGCAAGAUACAUGAUUUAUGUCAAAGUCAUGGACAAUUCUGCAGAGACAAAAUUUCUGUUAUUUGAUAGCAUAGCUUGUGAGAUUAUUGGAGAAUCUGCAGCGUCUCUUCUUGGUGGUUCAUUUGAUGAAAUUACAGAUUUUGAAGAUUUACCCAGCGCUAUCAAAACCAUACUUGGAAAAACAUUUGCAUUUUUGGUGUGUGUGGAGCGAGAUAACAUUUGGGAAGUAAAGGAUUCAUAAAAGGUUUCUAAAAUCCUUUCCAAAGAGGGACUUCUAGCAGAGCAAGAAAUUAUGGAAUCAAAUGAAAUGGUGAACCCAACUUCAAUUGUCUCUGGUGAUCAUGUUAUCUAUUCCUUACGGAAUCAAGUUUUAAUCUCUGAAUUUGAAACAGAGACAAAUAUAUUAACAAAUAUAUCUUUUGGCUUUUCCUAGGUUCACCUUGCCUUGACUUAUAGUCAAGAGACUACUGAGUCAAUUUCUCCCUCUUAUAAACGUGUCUACCCAUGUAAUGCUGAUACGCCUGAACAAUCAUCCU
Non-coding RNA from Camelina sativa (false flax), 643 nucleotides. NCBI's taxonomy places the organism in Eukaryota, Viridiplantae, Streptophyta, Magnoliopsida, Brassicales, Brassicaceae. The record is from RefSeq and is a predicted model, not a curated record.